AGAAGGGGUAAGACUGAUGAUUGACUUGCGAUGCAUCCCCCCUGUAGGAGUGUGACUCAGCUGCCUUCAUGGACCACAAGGGACUCAGUGUUACUGCGACUUCAUCAUUAAAGACUACCCCUAGGAAAAAAAUGUGAUCCCUUCAUUUCAGUCCCUGUGUCAUCACAGCGGGGUGUGGCAUCAGUCAGCUUAGUUGUGGUUUAAGGAUGGUCUCAAUAGAGUUCUCAGAACCUUUAGUUCAUGGCAAUCUGUACUGUGUUUUGGGGUUUUUGUUUGUUUGUUUGGUUAGUUUGGUUUGGUUUUUGUUGUUGUUGUUUGUGAUUAAGAAGUUAGCAAAAAAAAAAGAAUUUAAUUACUUUCACCCUAAGAACUGGUUGUAACGCCUUUGUUUUAUAAAUAAUUUUUUAAAGUUGCAAUAAUGUAGUAGUUCUCCUCAGUUCCACUCUCUAGUAUUCUAAUUAGCUGCAACCCACCACACUCCAAGACGAAUUUCUAUCAUGGUAUAUGACUUGUUAAUUGGUCUGUGUUAUCAUUGGCUACCAUUACACUUCGCUGUGUAUAAUGGACACAGUAAUCACUGCCCUAGGCCUGUGAGUGGGACAAAUAUACUACAGCUCCAAAUACCUGGGGUUUUAGAUAUCCACAGGGGGAAGAGGGUGGCUUGGAACUUAUGCUGUUGUGCAUGUAACUUGGCCUUUCAUAAUGUUAAACCCCAUCUUCCCUCAGUAAAAUAAUCAGGCAAAAGAGUUGACAUUGCUGAGAUACCGCUGGUGGAACAGCAGUACAUUGGCUGGUUUACCCGACCCCCUUUCUUUCUGGGGUUCCCUCUGAAGUUGCACCCUGCACUUACUGUCUGCACAGUCUUCUCACUCUGUCAUAGAGUCUGACUCUCCCUGUCUUUCAUGGGCUUCAGUUUUGCGGCCACUCAGCCACCUGUACAAUGCCUCUAAUGUGACUUCUAGAGUAAGUAGAGAGAGGUUACAGAUCUGUGAGUGCCACACCCUAAGGGGUAGCCUCCCCCCCAGUGCACAGGGUGCCACUGCAGGUGAUGAUGUGUUGGAAAUGGCAGUGCUGACCUGGCCAGCGUCCAUCUGCAUGUCCCGUUCAGAGCUUUCCCCCCUUUAGAAUAAGUAGCUUAGGGAAAUACCAGACAUAUUCUAUUUCUUUCAGACAUCAUUUUGAUUUGCUCUCCAUCAGUUGAUUGUAUGGUUUUUGUCUUUGUUUUCGUUUUUCAAUGUUUUGAGCGCCCCCCCCCCCACUAGGGUCUUCUAGCCUUCCAUGGUGUGAGACAAAAGGAGGAGAUAGACAUCUUUCUAGUUUUCUUCUUUCUUUCUCUUUAGUGUUCAAUCCAGAUACCACCUAGAAAACUAAGGAUCUGGAUUCAGAUGGAUUGUUUUUGUUACAAUUUCUGGUCCCUAAAUUCUAAUUUCAUGACAUGGAGCCAAUGUCCUUGGCUUGAAGCAUCAGUGGCAGAUAAUGAUGUGCCCACACUCAACCGGGGGCUCCUUUUGGAAAGCACCUUCCUUUUUAUUACAGCUACAUUUUCUAGAAAAACACAAACAAGGCAGUAUAUGGAAGCGAUCCACCUUCUGUUUCUCCCAUGGCUGUUCCAUGUUUCACUGAAGCAGAGCCAUGUCCCCAUGCUUUAAAAGCAUUUGGAUUUUUUUUUUUUAAGUGAGUCAGGACAAGCUCAGCAGCCCAUCUCCUGUGCGCAGGGACAUACUGGGAGGGAAUGUAGUGAGUGUGAGAGUGUCUAUGUUGUUAGUUCUGUGACACUGGCCACACUACUCCUGGAAUCACUCCGUCGUGGUGGAGGAGGCAGGCAGAGCAGCAGGUCACUCUCCUUGGCAGAAGCAUGCGGAGGAUGCAGACACUCAUCACUGAGGACCAGGAAAGAUAGGCACCAGCAGCAGUUCACACCGUCACAGGCCUGCUCUAAUGGCCUGCUUCCUCCAGCAAGAUCCUGCUCCUAAAGCCCCGCAGCCCCCAGAACAAGAGCCUCUAAAACCACAUCACACGCAAACCGUAAGAGCUGAUGUUUAGAGGCUCUGACCACAUCAGCAGCGUUACCUUUUUUUUUUUUUUAAAGAAACUUUCCCAUUUUUAAUGUAAUUUUUAAAACAAAAUGUUGAAAGGGAGGUAUAGACCAUAAUACCAUGUUUUUAAGGUACAAGGUUUUGAUGGAUUUUUCAGCUCUUUCCAAGAGUAAACUUAUUUUUGUUUACCUUUCACUUACCAACAAAUGUCCUGUGUUUUUCCUGGAUUGCUAUAUUGACAUUUUCUUGGUUUUUUCUAUUUUCAAAAAAAUCAUUUUUUGUUAUUUUGUAGAAUUCUGUACAUGCAUCCAAUGAAAUACAAUAAUAUCUACCUUCUAUUUCCUCCUUCUGAAUUCCCCCAUACACAUCUUCCUCCCAACUUUAUAUCUUACUUUUCAUUUAAAAAAGCAAACAAACAAACAAACAAAAAACACUAAGUCCAGUUAGUGCAGUUUCUAUGUGCAUGGGUGUGGAGCCUCUUUCUAUAUUUUUAAAUCAGUGUCUUGUAAGUUUUCAGACUCUGUACUACAUAACAACUCUUCAGAGAGGGAUACUAGGGAUAUAUUGUCCCUGGGACAUUAGAAAAUACCCAUUUAAUCUUAUUUUUAUUCUCAAGCAUAAGUGGUAUGAAGGUGAUACUUAGGACUGGUUGUUAAAGAUGAGACAAUGACCAUGGAGCCGUCCUCAUGAGCAGGAGUUGAAGUCCUACAAUGUGUAAAGCCCUUUGUCACGCGAGGAACAGGGGACCCAGGAAGCCUGCCUGGGGGUUUCUUUCUAGGUCCAUGCUGCCGAAUGCAGAUCUGCCUCCCGACUCUGCAGAGAGAAUUUUCCCAGUACUUGAAAACAAGACC
Molecule: long non-coding RNA, 2887 nt
Filed under: Mus musculus (house mouse)
Lineage: Eukaryota; Metazoa; Chordata; Mammalia; Rodentia; Muridae
Description: long non-coding RNA chr2:135994402-135997289
Source: RNAcentral